ACAUCUUAAACUACAAGUGGGAAGCAGAGAGAAUAUACUCAAAAUGGAAUUUUGAACAUUUAUCUAAUGCCUUAGUAAUAAAUCCAUUUCCUCCAUGGACAAGAUGGUCUUUACUCAUUUAUGCAUGGACAGUGAAGUUCUUCUCUUCUUGAUGCAAAAUAUUGUCAUCUUUUUAUAAUUUUCUAAAUAUAAGUGAACCAGGACACCAGUUGAGAGCCAGUGUCUUCUGUAACUUACAAGCAAGCUGCAUCUAUGUAUGAAGCCUCAGCAAUAGAGAUGAGUAAGCAUAACCUUGCACAAAAACAGCACCAGUUGACCUGCCACUGUGGAAGGAAUGUAUCAGGGGAGGUUCUGAGAGCAGGAAGUUAGGUAUUCAUGUCAUGGAAGGGCAGGAUCUGAAACCCAGCAUGCUCAGUAAGAGGUUUGGCUCUCUUCCAAAGCACUAGUAAAGAAGUGAGGUCUCUGAGGAAAUACAAGAGGCAAGAGGCAGGUGACAGAUCUGCAAGAAAAUCCCUAGGAAAAAAAUAGAACUGACUUUGUAAUCACAACAGGUAAGC
RNAcentral lists this long non-coding RNA (557 nucleotides) under Mus caroli (Ryukyu mouse). RNAcentral describes it as "lncRNA (MGP_CAROLIEiJ_G0006022.1)". The record is from RNAcentral. Lineage: Eukaryota; Metazoa; Chordata; Mammalia; Rodentia; Muridae.